This 530-nucleotide ribosomal RNA is filed under the name uncultured eukaryote. RNAcentral describes it as "SSU rRNA". It matches the Rfam family "Eukaryotic small subunit ribosomal RNA", at positions 21 to 549 of the family's 1831-position model. The record is from RNAcentral.
UAGUCAUAUGCUUGUCUCAAAGAUUAAGCCAUGCAUGUCUAAGUACAAGCCUCACUAAGGUGAAACCGCGAAUGGCUCAUUAAAUCACACCUAAUCUACUGGAUAGUUAACAGUUACUUGGAUAACUGCGGUAAUUCCGGAGCUAAUACAUGCACAAAGCCCCGAACUUACGUGAGGGGCGCUUUUAUUAGAUCAAAACCAAGCGGCUUCGGCUGUACUCUUGGUGACUCUGAAUAACUUUGGGCUGAUCGUACGGCCUAGCGCCGACGACAUAUCCUUCGAAGGUGUGCCCUAUCAACUGUCGACUGUGGCAUAGACGCCCACAGUGGUUUUGACGGGUAACGGGGAAUCAGGGUUCGAUUCCGGAGAGGGAGCCUUAAAAACGGCUACCACAUCUAAGGAAGGCAGCAGGCACGCAAAUUACCCAAUGACCGAAGGUCGAGGUAGUGACAAAAAAUAACGAUACGGGACUCAUCUGAGGCCCCGUAAUCGGAAUGAGUACACUUUAAAACCGUCCCCGAGGAUCUAUU